Molecule: long non-coding RNA, 339 nt
Filed under: Cricetulus griseus (Chinese hamster)
Lineage: Eukaryota; Metazoa; Chordata; Mammalia; Rodentia; Cricetidae
Description: lncRNA (ENSCGRG00015033062.1)
Source: RNAcentral
CUCUGCCCUUAUACCUUCUGCGACCUGCUGGCGGGCGCAUGUUAGGCUAAGGGUAACCUUACAAUCCACUUCCAUCUCCGCUUUUCCUGGCACUCCCUCCUGCCUACAACAGCCUGAGAUGCCGGAACUCAACUUGCGGCUUUCCAACUAAGAAUCUCUUAAACUCACUGAUCUGCCUAUUCGCUACAAUCCGGAUUCUUGUAAGUUCCAGGGAGCCGAAUCAGAUCCAAACAGGUCAGAUUCACUCCAGGUCUAAGAGGCGCCAGGGAGUUGCAUACAGCCUGGACUACAAUGAAACAACCAGCUUCCCCAGGACGUGGCAGCACCCCAACCUUCUCG